CCUACGGGAGGCAGCAGUGAGGAAUAUUGGUCAAUGGGCGCAAGCCUGAACCAGCCAAGUAGCGUGAAGGAUGACUGCCCUACGGGUUGUAAACUUCUUUUAUAAGGGAAUAAAACGAGGCACGUGUGCCUUGUUGCAUGUACUUUAUGAAUAAGGAUCGGCUAACUCCGUGCCAGCAGCCGCGGUAAUACGGAGGAUCCGAGCGUUAUCCGGAUUUAUUGGGUUUAAAGGGAGCGUAGGUGGGUUGUUAAGUUAGUUGUGAAAGUUUGCGGCUCAACCGUAAAAUUGCAAUUGAUACUGGCAGUCUUGAGUACAGUCGAGGUAGGCGGAAUUCGUGGUGUAGCGGUGAAAUGCUUAGAUAUCACGAAGAACCCCGAUUGCGAAGGCAGCUUACUAGACUGUGACUGACAUUGAUGCUCGAAAGUGUGGGUAGCAAACAGGAUUAGAUACCCGUGUAGUC
RNAcentral lists this ribosomal RNA (460 nucleotides) under uncultured bacterium. RNAcentral describes it as "partial 16S ribosomal RNA". It matches the Rfam family "Bacterial small subunit ribosomal RNA", at positions 338 to 795 of the family's 1533-position model. The record is from RNAcentral.